GAUGAACGCUGGCGGCGUGCCUAAUACAUGCCAGUCGAGCGAACAGACGAGGAGCUUGCUCCUCUGACGUUAGCGGCGGACGGGUGAGUAACACGUGGAUAACCUACCUAUAAGACUGGGAUAACUUCGGGAAACCGGAGCUAAUACCGGAUAACAUGUUGAACCGCAUGGUUCAACAGUGAAAGACGGUCUUGCUGUCACUUAUAGAUGGAUCCGCGCCGCAUUAGCUAGUUGGUAAGGUAACUGCUUACCAAGGCAACGAUGCGUAGCCGACCUGAGAGGGUGAUCGGCCACACUGGAACUGAGACACGGUCCAGACUCCUACGGGAGGCAGCAGUAGGGAAUCUUCCGCAAUGGGCGAAAGCCUGACGGAGCAACGCCGCGUGAGUGAAGAAGGUCUUCGGAUCGUAAAACUCUGUUAUUAGGGAAGAACAAAUGUGUAAGUAACUAUGCACGUCUUGACGGUACCUAAUCAGAAAGCCACGGCUAACUACGUG
RNAcentral lists this ribosomal RNA (497 nucleotides) under uncultured bacterium. Its description in RNAcentral is "partial 16S ribosomal RNA". It matches the Rfam family "Bacterial small subunit ribosomal RNA", at positions 28 to 507 of the family's 1533-position model. The record is from RNAcentral.